This 468-nucleotide ribosomal RNA is filed under the name uncultured bacterium. RNAcentral describes it as "partial 16S ribosomal RNA". It matches the Rfam family "Bacterial small subunit ribosomal RNA", at positions 28 to 507 of the family's 1533-position model. The record is from RNAcentral.
GACGAACGCUGGCGGCGUGCUUAACACAUGCAAGUCGAACGGAAAGGCCCUGCUUUUGUGGGGUGCUCGAGUGGCGAACGGGUGAGUCACACGUGAGUAACCUGCCCUUGACUUUGGGAUAACUUCAGGAAACUGGGGCUAAUACCGGAUAGGAGCUCCUGCUGCAUGGUGGGGGUUGGAAAGUUUCGGCGGUUGGGGAUGGACUCGCGGCUUAUCAGCUUGUUGGUGGGGUAGUGGCUUACCAAGGCUUUGACGGGUAGCCGGCCUGAGAGGGUGACCGGCCACAUUGGGACUGAGAUACGGCCCAGACUCCUACGGGAGGCAGCAGUGGGGAAGAUUGCACAAUGGGCGGAAGCCUGAUGCAGCAACGCCGCGUGCGGGAUGACGGCCUUCGGGGUGUAAACCGCUUUCGCCUGUGACGAAGCGUGAGUGACGGUAAUGGGUAAAGAAGCACCGGCUAACUACGUG